RNAcentral lists this ribosomal RNA (443 nucleotides) under uncultured Actinomycetales bacterium. Its description in RNAcentral is "bacterial SSU rRNA". It matches the Rfam family "Bacterial small subunit ribosomal RNA", at positions 341 to 792 of the family's 1533-position model. The record is from RNAcentral. Lineage: Bacteria; Bacillati; Actinomycetota; Actinomycetes; Actinomycetales.
ACGGGAGGCAGCAGUGGGGAAUAUUGCACAAUGGGCGCAAGCCUGAUGCAGCGACGCCGCGUGAGGGAUGACGGCCUUCGGGUUGUAAACCUCUUUCAGCAGGGAAGAAGCCUUUUGGGGUGACGGUACCUGCAGAAGAAGCACCGGCUAACUACGUGCCAGCAGCCGCGGUAAUACGUAGGGUGCGAGCGUUGUCCGGAAUUAUUGGGCGUAAAGAGCUUGUAGGCGGUUUGUCGCGUCUGCUGUGAAAAUCCGGGGCUCAACCCCGGACUUGCAGUGGGUACGGGCAGGCUAGAGUGUGGUAGGGGAGACUGGAAUUCCUGGUGUAGCGGUGGAAUGCGCAGAUAUCAGGAGGAACACCGAUGGCGAAGGCAGGUCUCUGGGCCACUACUGACGCUGAGAAGCGAAAGCAUGGGGAGCGAACAGGAUUAGAUACCCUGGUA